RNAcentral lists this ribosomal RNA (274 nucleotides) under uncultured bacterium. Its description in RNAcentral is "partial 16S ribosomal RNA". It matches the Rfam family "Bacterial small subunit ribosomal RNA", at positions 523 to 796 of the family's 1533-position model. The record is from RNAcentral.
AUACAGAGGGUGCGAGCGUUAAUCGGAAUUACUGGGCGUAAAGCGCGCGUAGGCGGUUCGGCAAGUCGGGUGUGAAAUCCCCGGGCUCAACCUGGGAAUUGCAUCCGAAACUGCCGGGCUAGAGUGUGGUAGAGGGAAGCGGAAUUCCGCAUGUAGCGGUGAAAUGCGUAGAUAUGCGGAGGAACACCAGUGGCGAAGGCGGCUUCCUGGACCAACACUGACGCUGAGGUGCGAAAGCGUGGGGAGCAAACAGGAUUAGAUACCCUUGUAGUCC